UGAGCAGUUCAUCUCUAGCCAGAAAGC
RNAcentral lists this non-coding RNA (27 nucleotides) under Mus musculus (house mouse). The record is from RNAcentral. Lineage: Eukaryota; Metazoa; Chordata; Mammalia; Rodentia; Muridae.